RNAcentral lists this transfer RNA (95 nucleotides) under Diplodia seriata. It matches the Rfam family "tRNA". From Rfam's summary of the family: Transfer RNA (tRNA) molecules are approximately 80 nucleotides in length. Their secondary structure includes four short double-helical elements and three loops (D, anti-codon, and T loops). The record is from Rfam by way of RNAcentral. Lineage: Eukaryota; Fungi; Ascomycota; Dothideomycetes; Botryosphaeriales; Botryosphaeriaceae.
GCUCCACUGGCGCAAUGGUAGCGCGUCAGACUUCUACUGCGUAGUCGAUCUGCCCCGGUAUCUGAAGGUUGCGGGUUCGAGUCCCGCGUGGAGUA